GACGAACGCUGGCGGCGUGCUUAACACAUGCAAGUCGAACGGAAAGGCCCUGCUUUCGUGGGGUGAUCGAGUGGCGAACGGGUGAGUAACACGAGAGUAACCUGCCCUUGACUUUGGGAUAACUUCAGGAAACUGGGGCUAAUACCGUAUAGGAUCCCCUCCUGCAUGGUGGGGGUUGGAAAGUUUCGGCGGUUGGGGAUGGAUUCGCGGCUUAUCAGUUUGCUGGUUGGGUGGUUGCUUGCCCAGGCUUUGACGGGUAGCCCGCCGUUGAGGGUGACCGGCCACAUUGGGACUGAGGGACGGCGCAGACGCCUACGGGAGGCAGUAGUGGGGAAUAUUGCACAAUGGUCGGAAGCCGGAGGCAGCAACGCCGCGUGCGGGAUGACGGCCUUCUGGGUGUAAACCGCUUUCGCCUGUGACGAAGCGGGAGUGACGGUACUGAGUAAAGAAGCACCGGCUAACUACGUG
This 468-nucleotide ribosomal RNA is filed under the name uncultured bacterium. RNAcentral describes it as "partial 16S ribosomal RNA". It matches the Rfam family "Bacterial small subunit ribosomal RNA", at positions 28 to 507 of the family's 1533-position model. The record is from RNAcentral.